This 454-nucleotide ribosomal RNA is filed under the name uncultured bacterium. RNAcentral describes it as "bacterial SSU rRNA". It matches the Rfam family "Bacterial small subunit ribosomal RNA", at positions 28 to 484 of the family's 1533-position model. The record is from RNAcentral.
GAUGAACGCUAGCGGCAGGCCUAACACAUGCAAGUCGAGGGGUAAAGGAAGCUUGCUUCCUUGAGACCGGCGCACGGGUGCGUAACGCGUAUGCAAUCUACCUUGUACAGAGGAAUAGCCCAGAGAAAUUUGGAUUAAUGCCUCAUAGUAUAAUUGAAUCGCAUGGUUUAAUUAUUAAAGUUUCGGCGGUACAAGAUGAGCAUGCGUCCCAUUAGUUAGUUGGUAAGGUAACGGCUUACCAAGACAAUGAUGGGUAGGGGUCCUGAGAGGGAGAUCCCCCACACUGGUACUGAGACACGGACCAGACUCCUACGGGAGGCAGCAGUGAGGAAUAUUGGGCAAUGGGCGGAAGCCUGACCCAGCCAUGCCGCGUGCAGGAAGACGGUCCUAUGGAUUGUAAACUGCUUUUAUACGGGAGAAACACCCCCUCGUGAGGGACUUGACGUACCGUAGA